Molecule: ribosomal RNA, 253 nt
Filed under: uncultured bacterium
Lineage: Bacteria
Description: partial 16S ribosomal RNA
Rfam family: Bacterial small subunit ribosomal RNA
Source: RNAcentral
UACGUAGGGUGCGAGCGUUGUCCGGAAUCAUUGGGCGUAAAGAGCUCGUAGGCGGCCUGUCGCGUCGGAUGUGAAAACCCGGGGCUCAACCUCGGGCCUGCAUUCGAUACGGGCAGGCUGGAGUUCGGCAGGGGAGACUGGAAUUCCUGGUGUAGCGGUGAAAUGCGCAGAUAUCAGGAGGAACACCGGUGGCGAAGGCGGGUCUCUGGGCCGAUACUGACGCUGAGGAGCGAAAGCGUGGGGAGCGAACAGG